RNAcentral lists this unclassified non-coding RNA (225 nucleotides) under plant metagenome. RNAcentral describes it as "partial contains small subunit ribosomal RNA, internal transcribed spacer 1, and 5.8S ribosomal RNA". The record is from RNAcentral.
GCUCCGUUGGUGAACCAGCGGAGGGAUCAUUACAGGACUCGCAAGACUCCUACAACCCUGUGAACUUAACUAUAAGCACGUUGCUUCGGCGGGUGUCUCGGAGGGGGUUCUCCCUCCCCGAGACGCUAAACCCGCCGGCAGCCUACUAUACUCUGUCUCUUUGCGUUGGCAUCUCGAGCACAAUCAAACAAGUUAAAACUUUCAACAACGGAUCUCUUGGUUCUG